Molecule: ribosomal RNA, 371 nt
Filed under: uncultured organism
Description: bacterial SSU rRNA
Rfam family: Bacterial small subunit ribosomal RNA
Source: RNAcentral
CGAACCGUGCGAACGUUGUUCGGAAUCACUGGGCUUAAAGGGCGCGUAGGCGGGCCGGCCAGUCUGUGGUGAAAGCCCCCAGCUCAACUGGGGAAGUGCCGUGGACACUGCCGGCCUCGAGGGAGGUAGGGGCGUGUGGAACUUCCGGUGGAGCGGUGAAAUGCGUAGAUAUCGGAAGGAACGCCGGUGGCGAAAGCGACGCGCUGGACCUCUACUGACGCUGAGGCGCGAAAGCCAGGGGAGCAAACGGGAUUAGAUACCCCGGUAGUCCUGGCCCUAAACGAUGGGUACUAGGUUGUGGACUGGACAUGGGUUCACAGCCGAAGCAAAAGUGUUAAGUACCCCGCCUGGGGAGUAUGGUCGCAAGGCUG